UACGUAGGGUGCGAGCGUUAAUCGGAUUUACUGGGCGUAAAGCGUGCGCAGGCGGCCCGUUAAGACAGGUGUGAAAUCCCUGGGCUCAACCUAGGAAUUGCGCUUGUGACUGGCGGGCUCGAGUACGGUAGAGGGGGGUGGAAUUCCAGGUGUAGCGGUGAAAUGCGUAGAGAUCUGGAGGAACACCGAUGGCGAAGGCAGCCCCCUGGGCCUGUACUGACGCUCAUGCACGAAAGCGUGGGGAGCAAACAGG
RNAcentral lists this ribosomal RNA (253 nucleotides) under uncultured microorganism. RNAcentral's name for it is "partial 16S ribosomal RNA". It matches the Rfam family "Bacterial small subunit ribosomal RNA", at positions 524 to 776 of the family's 1533-position model. The record is from RNAcentral.